This 429-nucleotide ribosomal RNA is filed under the name uncultured archaeon. Its description in RNAcentral is "bacterial SSU rRNA". It matches the Rfam family "Archaeal small subunit ribosomal RNA", at positions 474 to 903 of the family's 1478-position model. The record is from RNAcentral.
UACCUGCAGCUCGAGUGGUAACCGCUAUUAUUGGGCCUAAAGCGUCCGUAGCCGGUUUGGUAAAUAUCUGGGUAAAUCGUGAGGCUUAACUUCACGAAUUUCGGAUAGACUGCCAGACUUGGGAUCGGGGGAGGUCAGAGGUACUCCAGGGGUAGCGGUGAAAUGUUGUAAUCCUUGGAGGACCAUCGGUAGCGAAGGCGUCUGACUAGAACGAGUCCGACGGUGAGGGACGAAGCCCUGGGGCGCAAACCGGAUUAGAUACCCGGGUAGUCCAGGGUGUAAACGAUGUGGGCUUUGGAUUGGAGGUCCCACGUGGGCGUCCAGUGCAGAAGAGAAGUUGUUAAGCCCACCGCCUGGGAAGUACGGUCGCAAGGCUGAAACUUAAAGGAAUUGGCGGGGGAGCACAGCAACGGGAGGAGCGUGCGGUUU